Molecule: ribosomal RNA, 326 nt
Filed under: uncultured bacterium
Lineage: Bacteria
Description: bacterial SSU rRNA
Rfam family: Bacterial small subunit ribosomal RNA
Source: RNAcentral
GUACGCUAUUCAGAGUUUGAUCCUGGCUCAGGAUUAACGCUGGCGGCGUGCAUAACACAUUCAAGUCGAACGAAGCAGCAAUGCUUAGUGGCGGACGGGUGAGUAACGCGUGAGCAAUCUACCUCCCAGUACGGAAUAACAACCGGAAACAGUUGCUAAUACCGUAUGAAAUAGCAGUACCGCAUGGUACAACUAUCAAAGAUAUAUUGCUGGGAGAUGAGCUUGCGUCCGAUUAGCUAGAUGGCGGGGUAACGGCCCACCAUGGCAACGAUCGGUAGCCGGACUGAGAGGUUGAACGGCCACAUUGGAACUGAGAUACGGUCCAG